ACGAUCCGUAGCUGGUCUGAGAGGAUGAUCAGCCACAUCGGGACUGAGACACGGCCCGAACUCCUACGGGAGGCAGCAGUGGGGAAUAUUGGACAAUGGGGGAAACCCUGAUCCAGCCAUGCCGCGUGUGUGAAGAAGGCCCUCGGGUUGUAAAGCACUUUCAGCGAGGAAGAACGCCUAGCGGUUAAUACCCGCUAGGAAAGACAUCACUCGCAGAAGAAGCACCGGCUAACUCCGUGCCAGCAGCCGCGGUAAUACGGAGGGUGCAAGCGUUAAUCGGAAUUACUGGGCGUAAAGCGCGCGUAGGUGGCUUGAUAAGCCGGUUGUGAAAGCCCCGGGCUCAACCUGGGAACGGCAUCCGGAACUGUCAAGCUAGAGUGCAGGAGAGGAAGGUAGAAUUCCCGGUGUAGCGGUGAAAUGCGUAGAGAUCGGGAGGAAUACCAGUGGCGAAGGCGGCCUUCUGGACUGACACUGACACUGAGGUGCGAAAGCGUGGGUAGCAAACAGGAUUAGAUACCCUGGUAGUCCACGCCGUAAACGAUGUCGACCAGCCGUUGGGUGCCUAGCGCACUUUGUGGCGAAGUUAACGCGAUAAGUCGACCGCCUGGGGAGUACGGCCGCAAGGUUAAAACUCAAAUGAAUUGACGGGGGCCCGCACAAGCGGUGGAGCAUGUGGUUUAAUUCGAUGCAACGCGAAGAACCUUACCUACUCUUGACAUCCUGCGAAUUUGGUAGAGAUACCUUAGUGCCUUCGGGAACGCAGAGACAGGUGCUGCAUGGCUGUCGUCAGCUCGUGUUGUGAAAUGUUGGGUUAAGUCCCGUAACGAGCGCAACCCUUGUCCUUAUUUGCCAGCGCGUAAUGGCGGGAACUCUAAGGAGACUGCCGGUGACAAACCGGAGGAAGGUGGGGACGACGUCAAGUCAUCAUGGCCCUUACGAGUAGGGCUACACACGUGCUACAAUGGUCGGUACAAAGGGUUGCCAACUCGCGAGAGUGAGCCAAUCCCGAAAAGCCGAUCUCAGUCCGGAUCGGAGUCUGCAACUCGACUCCGUGAAGUCGGAAUCGCUAGUAAUCGUGGAUCAGAAUGCCACGGUGAAUACGUUCCCGGGCCUUGUACACACCGCCCGUCACACCAUGGGAGUGGACUGCACCAGAAGUGGUUAG
This 1165-nucleotide ribosomal RNA is filed under the name Vreelandella aquamarina. RNAcentral describes it as "bacterial SSU rRNA". It matches the Rfam family "Bacterial small subunit ribosomal RNA", at positions 276 to 1433 of the family's 1533-position model. The record is from RNAcentral. Lineage: Bacteria; Pseudomonadati; Pseudomonadota; Gammaproteobacteria; Oceanospirillales; Halomonadaceae.